UACGUAGGGGGGCUAGCGUUGUCCGGAUUUAUUGGGCGUAAAGCGUAGGUAGGCGGUCUGGUUAGUCGGAUGUCAAAGCUCGGGGCUCAACCUCGAACAGGCAUUCGAAACGGCCAGACUUGAGAGUGUGAGAGAUCAGUGGAAUUCAUGGUGUAGUAGUGAAAUGCGUUGAUAUCAUGAGGAACACCCAAGGCGAAGGCAACUGAUUGGCACAUUUCUGACGCUCAGCUACGAAAGCGUGGGUAGCGAAUGGG
Molecule: ribosomal RNA, 254 nt
Filed under: uncultured bacterium
Lineage: Bacteria
Description: partial 16S ribosomal RNA
Rfam family: Bacterial small subunit ribosomal RNA
Source: RNAcentral